RNAcentral lists this ribosomal RNA (253 nucleotides) under uncultured bacterium. RNAcentral's name for it is "partial 16S ribosomal RNA". It matches the Rfam family "Bacterial small subunit ribosomal RNA", at positions 524 to 776 of the family's 1533-position model. The record is from RNAcentral.
UACGUAGGGCGCGAGCGUUGUCCGGAUUUAUUGGGCGUAAAGAGCUCGUAGGCGGCCUUUUAAGUCUGAUGUGAAAGCCCACGGCUCAACCGUGGAAGGUCAUUGGAAACUGAAAGGCUUGAGUACAGAAGAGGAAAGCGGAAUUCCACGUGUAGCGGUGAAAUGCGUAGAGAUGUGGAGGAACACCAGUGGCGAAGGCGGCUUUCUGGUCUGUAACUGACGCUGAGGCGCGAAAGCGUGGGGAGCAAACAGG